CUCUAUCGCACCCACCCUGGAGGGGAACGGAGCCCCAGCAGCACCUGCACGGCCCUUCCCCGGGGUACCUGUAGCCUGUGGGUGUCUGUCCGCCUCGAGGGAAGGAUCAUGGGGUCCGAAGCUCUGCCCCCAGGACCGUGGGGACUUAGGAAGCCAAUCUGGCACCAGCUGCUUGGAGCAAAACAAUUCCCACGUGGACCCAUCUCCUGGGUGUAAAAUAGACGAACGGGCAAAGCCCAUUUGUAAAGGUUGCGGGAGCACCUCUCCAGCUCUCCAGAGGGGGGCGCUCGCAGGAAAGGAUGAAUCACCGAGCGGAGACACAAAUAGCUCAUUGGUGUCUGUCUGAGAGUCAGGUCUUGGAAUCAUCUUGGAAUGCGACACGGACAUAAGGGGUGCUGGUCGCUGAAGCCGCUACGGAUGUCAGCGGAUGUCAGCGCUCACGUGCAAACACAGUGCUCCGUAGUCCUGCAGCCACAGCCUGAGGACGGUCACAUGCCACCCAUGUCAGGUCCCCCAGGGCCACACCAAGCCUGCUGCUGUCAGAGGGCCGGGCCUGGGUUUGCCCCGUGGAGACGUGGAGACGAAACAAGCUCAACUACAGCAUUUCAAAGGCGCCUGGAAUUUCUGGUCUCUGUUUUGGAACACUCCUCCUUGCGGGCUCAAUAUGCUGAAUCCUGAAGACACAAGAUGCCAGGACCCAGGGCUAAUGGGACACAGAAGACAAGGGCUGCCCGAAUAAAUACCACCACCGUUCAAAAAAGAAAAAAAAA
This 770-nucleotide long non-coding RNA is filed under the name Felis catus (domestic cat). Its description in RNAcentral is "lncRNA (ENSFCAG00000052248.1)". The record is from RNAcentral. Lineage: Eukaryota; Metazoa; Chordata; Mammalia; Carnivora; Felidae.